UGAAAGGGGAAAUUAACAAUAACACAAUAAUAGUGAGCCAGCUAGACCUAAUCGAUAUCUAUAGGACACUUCACCCCAAAACAAUUCAUUUCACCUUUUUCUCAAGUACACACGGAACCUUCUCCAGGAUAGAUCACAUCCUGGGCCAUAAAUCUAGCAUUGGUAAGUUCAAAAAACUUGAAAUCAUUCUAAGCAUCUUUUCUUACCACAAUGCCAUAAGAUUAGAUGUCAAUUACAGGAGAAAAACUGUUAAAAAAUCCAACAUAUGGAGGUUGAACAAGACGCUGCUUAAUAACCAACAAAUCACAGAAGAAAU
Long non-coding RNA from Cervus elaphus (red deer), 316 nucleotides. RefSeq lists it as uncharacterized. The transcript is spliced from 2 exons. The record is from RefSeq and is a predicted model, not a curated record. Lineage: Eukaryota; Metazoa; Chordata; Mammalia; Artiodactyla; Cervidae.